UGUCAUCUAGCUCAGUCGGUAGAACAUGAGACGCUUAAUCUCAGGGUUGUGAGUUCGAGACCCAAGUUGGGCAA
Podarcis lilfordi (Lilford's wall lizard) is the source of this 74-nucleotide non-coding RNA. The record is from the annotation of a GenBank genome assembly. NCBI's taxonomy places the organism in Eukaryota, Metazoa, Chordata, Lepidosauria, Squamata, Lacertidae.